RNAcentral lists this long non-coding RNA (1359 nucleotides) under Medicago truncatula (barrel medic). RNAcentral describes it as "long non-coding RNA (MTRU_LNC007321)". Lineage: Eukaryota; Viridiplantae; Streptophyta; Magnoliopsida; Fabales; Fabaceae. The record is from RNAcentral.
GAAGGAACAGUGCAGAUAUUUUCUAAAUUGAAGGAACUCCUACGCUUCUUCUCUCUCCAUAAAAAACAAUCCAUUUGAUACACUAUUAACCACACAAACUCUCUACUUCAAAAGAACAAACUCUCUCUACUUCUUCAAAAGAAAGGUCAGCAUCCACUUUCCUUUCUAAGGUUCUUUAUUCUGUUGUUUUGUAUUCUUGUACUGGAAUUCUUAUCUUCAAGUUACUCUUACUUCCAAAACUAGAUUUAUACCCCACCACACCAUCACUUUCAACAAAAAGACACAAUCAAACUUUUCAUUAAUACUCCUUAUGUCUAUGUAACCUUGUACUCUCCUGAUUAAAGAAAGAAAAAAACCAUACACUCUUCAAAAGAGUAUUUUUCUGCUAUGAGAAAGACAAUACCCCUCAGUUUAAUAACAAUAAUAAAUUAGAUCUGGGAAAAAACUAUAGCCUAUUUUGAACCGUAUGUGAUAUGAUAGAUCUAUAAAACCAUAUACCACCCAAACUAAUUAAGAGAACCAUGAAAAUUUUUAGGAAAAGAACCACGAAAUUAUGGUUUGCGGGAGCUAUAAUUAGAGGUUCUUGUCAUUUUCACUUAAAGCAACUAUGGACUUUUUAUAUUCUAGUACUGUAAAUAUUUUUUUAACUAGUUUAUGAAAGUUAAGAAAGGAACUUAAAACAAAUCUAAUUAGACGUAAUAGAAUAAUAUGUAUAUAUAUAUAUAUAUAUAUAUACACACACACACAAAGUACAUAGAUUAAGAAUGAGACUAUAAGAUAAAACUGAAUUUAUAUCUUUAUGCAAUUGAAAAAUAAAAACUGAGUCUUAUUUAUUUUAUACGGUAUAUAAUGAUUCAGCUUAAGACUAUAUGACUUUAAUAAUUAUAGCCUGAUGGGUAGUUUACUUUGGGUGACUGUUUUAGGUGAUACUGAAGCCGUUUUCGACGAAGACGAUAUUCCAACAACGUUUGAAAAAACUGAAGGUAAGGGGAAUUACUACUAAUAAGUUUUAAAGAUUUUGUAUAAGUUAUGUGCUUAAGUGAUUAUAUGUGAGUAACUAAUUCUACUUGUGAAAGUUAAUUUCUCGAUGAUGUGGUAAUUUCUAGCGAUCAAGUACAUGUCAAAGGACAUCGACUUAUAUGUGUUUUAGUUAAUAUAAUUAGGAGUUUUUGAAAAUAUAAUACAUAAGUAGAAGAAAAAGUUUUGUAAAUGAUGAAUUGAUUAGAUAGUUAUAUUAUGUUUAAUUGGUAUUACUCUUGUGUAAGUGAAUGAGUAUAUAAAUUUCAAUAAGUGUUAAGUGAUUUCGAUGACCGAAAUUAGUUUGAAAUAUAUGAUUAAAAGUGUCGAUUAUGAUUCGAC